Sander lucioperca (pikeperch) is the source of this 4709-nucleotide long non-coding RNA. RefSeq lists it as uncharacterized. The transcript is spliced from 3 exons. The record is from RefSeq and is a predicted model, not a curated record. NCBI's taxonomy places the organism in Eukaryota, Metazoa, Chordata, Actinopteri, Perciformes, Percidae.
UGUGUGAGUCUUUGUGUAACUUCUAGCUACUUCAGUGUGGUUUUACUGGAGUACUUCCAUGUGCGAAUGUGUAGGAAAGUGUGACAGUCAUGCAGGGUGUUGUUGAAAAAGAGCAAGCUGCACUGUUGAUUUUCCCAAGAUAAAUAAAGGUUGGACAACUUAAUGAAUGAAAAAAACAAACAUAAAAUAAGGCUAAUCUGCUGUCCUAAUAUGCAACAGGAACAUUUUUAUUCUUCUUCACAGAAACAUACACAACUUAAUUUAACAGUUUUUUUCUUCUUAAAGUAGAUUAGUUUUACUUUCCAGCCCAAACUCAACCUCCAGCAGAAACUCAUCUAAGUGUCCACAAUAAUGUCACAGCCUUCCAUUUAUAGCAAAGUAAAUGGCACUCAAUUAUUAAGUGGCACUCCAUUGCGGCAUGUAUAAUGUGAUGAAAGUUCAGAUUCAACCUGACAGAAAAAGUAUUUCUAAGUGUUUUAGUUCCAAAAAAAAAUUCUCCUCCAGCUUCCCUGACGUCUAAAACACAUGUGACCGUGGGGAGAGCCUUAGUACUUGAUGUAGACAUGAAGAAGAACUGAACAGCAGUAAGUACACUCCGAAAACUCUCUUCUUGUUUCUAGAUACUGACAGGUGACCUCUUGGAAGGGCUGCAAUUAACUAUUAUAUUCAUUAUUAAAUAAUCUGUAGACGACUAUCUUUUUUUAUUAGACCUCCAUUGGAAACUAGUGGUUUAAUCGACUAAUUUGUUUAAUUACUGCUUGGAAGUGCAGUGCUAUAACGUCGCAGCAGAGAUUGCUUAAUACAAAAUGCGGCAGAAAGGACAUAUAGCCAUGAAGUCAGCUCUCAGUUUAACGUGUCAACAAGACACUCUGUACCAGAAUUCUUCCAAAAUUCGAUUUCUUAAAGAGGAACUGUACCGAUUUUACACAUCUAACUCUGUUAACGGGUCUUGGUAGUGCUACUGCAUAAUGUGAAAAUAGUUGUAUAAAGCCUUUUGUGACUCCAGAGGGAGCUGUGUUAAAUCUGGUAAAUUGCCUCAAGUGAUGUCAUCAGCCGCUACUAGCAUAACCGAAACCGAAUCUCUGACCCAACUGUCGACGGUCGGGUUGCAUUGUGGAUAAUGUAGGUGACAAGAAAAAGAAGAAGAAUGUGUGUGGAAUAAAAAAGGCGAUUUCCCCGUUUCUGCUGUAUCGAUUUUAAUCCUUUCCCAUUGUGAGUCCGACAAUGUUACAGGAGUGCAGUGCUAAAUAAAUGGAGUGAUGUGACAGAUUAUCCAUCAUAAAAGUCGGUCGGUAACACGCAGAAUAUACUUGUCUCAUACAUAAGUGUUACACACAGUGUUCCCUUCCUAAUACGUUAAACAGUUGCCACCCCUCAUUUUAAACAUGAUCUUUUGUGAGGAGCUAAUCAUAAUAUUGCCCACCACUGCGAUGGCUUGCACACAGCAUUACACCAAUAGGUAUUGCAAUAAUGCCCUCGCCAAGCUUUGUAUAUUAUAAUGACCACCCAGGUGUGUGUGCGUGCGUGCGUGCGUGCGUGCGUGCGUGCGUGCAUGCGUGCAUGUGUGUGUGUGUGUGUGUGUGUGUGUGAGAGAGAUUAAAGGAACUCUGAGUCUGUGUGAUAUCAGCACGGAGAGUUUAAGUUCACAGUGAAAGAAUGAGAGAAAAAAAGUAAAGAGAAGCGAUGAUAAAGGCGAGCUCAAGGCAGAAUGGAGAGCAGAAGUAGAAGAGAUAGAUGAGGAGGGAGUGGGAGAGUGGUAAAAGAAAUAACAUAAAACGAAGCAUCGUGGAGGAGGCGACGGGUUUGAGGGGAGCUGAAGACAGGAGGGAAUUAGUAAGAAGAUGAGUUCUUACAUUGUCUGCUCUCCUUUUGUUGGUUAACUUUGUGUAUGUUAGCUGUAAUAUUUGUACAAGUGGAUGCUGCUGCUUGUCAUAUGUGUCCUUUAGUGUGCAUGUGUAUUACUUUUAUGUUGAUACCAUUGAUUGUACAGUCUGGUCACGUGCAUGUGUUGCAAUAAGUGUAGUAUAUCAGUGUAUACAUUGUGGGUUGCCUGUAAGGUCUUAUCGCUCUCUUACCUGUAACUAUCUGUCAGCAUAAGAUCUGUGUGACUGACUAUCGCUAUGACUCACUGACUGACUGACUAACUGUGUGUGGGUGCGUUCAUAUGUGCAUGGAAGUUAUCCAGUAUGUGGUAUGGAGACUGGCUCUCUCCUCCCAGACUCAAUAUUAAGUCCCAAGAAUAAUUCAACAUGCGUCUACUCCAAUGCUUAAACACUCACAACAGGGCUUGAUUACCUCUCAGCAGGAGGGAGAGAGGCGAGACAGCAACAACACAGGGAAGGCAAAGGCGGGAUAACAAAGCAGAGGACUGUGUGAAGGCAGAGCGCUGCCAUUGAAAAGAGAAAGAAAUGAAAAUGAAACUCGACAGGAGAGAGGCAGGGAGGUUGAGAGAGAGGUCCAAUCUCAAAGCCAACACUUUGAUUUGUAUGGGCUUGCCACCAGAUGUGGGAUUUAAAAAGCGUCAGACUCACGAGUUGCCAAAUGGUCCAGAGGACCUGCUGUCAGCCCUCCAUACAGAGUGUCCAUCAAUGAUCCCGCAGCCACUUAGCCAGCAGCAUCCCAGUGGCGUAACCUAGCAACACCUGGAGCGCAUGGCACACUACCGCUACUGUUUAGCAAGAAUUACAAUUUUGGGGUGUUGACAGAUGACAGCUGGAAAAUUUCAAGCAGGCCCUGUCUAAAUUCACAUAUUAACCAAAACUUAAAGGCACUUAAAUCAGCAAUCUGCAAUUUUGGGGCAUAUGAGCCUCUGUAAUUAGGAGGAUUUGAUUAGGUUAAUGGUUUGAUAUCAGGCUGUCUGUGUGUGCAUAAAAUGAUCGUCUUGCUAACUUGUGAGCCGGCUGUGUGCUGUAAGAUGCAUGUGCACAUAUGUGUAGGUGUGCGCUUGUGUGUGUUUUGUGGUUGCCAAACAGGGGAGCAUGGGCUGAAAGUGUUGUCCAGGCGCCCCAGCGCCCCAGAGCUCACCUGUGUACCGAUAAACACUGCUGCAACCCUGCUAACCUGUUCCCCAGUCGGCCCUAGCUCCCCCGUCGAACACACCGAGAUACAACAGCGUGCCACACUGGGGAGGGAAGGUGCCAGUGGCGGGUCUAAAGAAAAUGAGAGAGAGGGACAACAUGAGGUAGUCUACAGUGGGCUUUUAAAGAACUUUUCUUGACAAAAGAAGCUGCCUAGCUGAAAACAAUCCUGAUGUUGCUCCGUAGAGCUGAGGGAACUGCAGAAUUGAGUGAUAAUUCUAAAUUAAAUGUCUCGUAUUUUGUAGGGAAAUUGGUAGAGAGUUAAGGAUACUGUUUGGGGAGAAAGCGGGAGUCGCACAGUUGGAGGUGGAAAAAGACGGAGGGAAAACAAGAUGAAGAUGGAGAUGGAAAGGCCCAUAUAGAAAAAGUGCUGAAGGAAGUAGAGAGGUACAAAGCAAGAGAGAUAUCACUCUGUCAAAAACUGGCUGUUAUGCUCCCCUCUCUUCCCUCUCCUGCCUCGCCUCUACCAGUUUCUGUUCCCUUGGUGGCCAAUUACCGUUAAUUAAAAUCCUCACUGCAGCUCUCCCAGACUCCCCCUCUUCCUCUCCUCCAAGACCUCCAUCUCUCUGCUUCGCCUGUCGCCCUGUCGCUCUCUCAUUUCUGUUUCCCUUUCUUUGAAGAUGUGGUGUUUCUGCCCGUCGCGAUCAACAGCUUAAACACCUUGUUUCAUCAUGUUCUUCUCAUCCUCACCUUUCUAUCUCUUCACCUCCUCUCUUUUUUUCUCUUGCUCACUCCCCCUCCUCAUCCUUUUUCUUUCUCCUUUGUAUCCCGCUCUUAUCCUCUACCCGCCUUUCCUUUCCUUCCCCAUCUCCUCUCUCUCCCUGCCUCCCCCUCUCUUCGUAUCAUCAUCAGCAGUAAGGGUUCUUUAGUAGUGCCAAGAGACUUGACAAGGCUCUGGGCUAAACACUGUAGCACUCAGACUGUGAUACCUUGCUAGUUGGGGGAGAUUUUUUUUCCUCCUCUUUUUUUGACAAGGUUGUCGACAUCUUUGCUUCUUCCUGCCUCGGCGUCAGCAGUGUGAGCCUUCUAGGUGUUAAAAAGCUUAAUCAAAGCUGCUGCUGAUGAGGAGGAGCGUGAUGAUGAUGAUCACAGCAGCCCUGGUGUUAAUUCAUUCAGUUAAUUCAUUCGCCUUAAAGGAGAAAAAGGGAUAAAAAAAAAGCUCCGGUGUUGCUUGGCUUAGGGAAAAGAGAGUUGUGCUGCUGCUCUUUGAUGAAGAGAAUUAUGUCCGCUCCUUUCAGCAUCGGCAUCUCAUUCCCCCCUUCUCGGUCCACUCUUGUCCUCCUGUUUAGAAUAACUGCCCCUCUGUCUUUUUCAGAGAAAGGUGAAAAGAGAUAGGGAGAGCCUUUACAAGACCUGAGCCCUCCUUUUGUGCCAAAGGCCCGGGCCUGGAUUUAAGAGCUGUGGCCGCUUGGCUGAGCACAAACUGAGGCCAAGCACACAAAGGACCAGCUCGCCUUUUUUCUGCCUCCUGCUUUAACGGCAGAUAAAGAAAGGCGAGGGACAGAUGGAGGUAUAAGAAGAGAGAGAGAGUAAGGGGAAGGGAAAGGAUGGAUGGACGGAUGGAUGGAUGGCCGUUGAGUAUGAAAAGCAGGAGCAGCGACUCGUGGCCUCCCAGGUAAGAAUGGUGAGAGG